This 72-nucleotide transfer RNA is filed under the name Candidatus Woesebacteria bacterium. RNAcentral describes it as "tRNA-Arg". It matches the Rfam family "tRNA". Rfam says of the family: Transfer RNA (tRNA) molecules are approximately 80 nucleotides in length. Their secondary structure includes four short double-helical elements and three loops (D, anti-codon, and T loops). The record is from RNAcentral. Lineage: Bacteria; Candidatus Woeseibacteriota.
GCGCCCAUAGUUCAACGGAUAGAACAAGGGCCUUCUAAGCCUUAAAUCUGGGUUCGAUUCCCGGUGGGCGCA